RNAcentral lists this long non-coding RNA (421 nucleotides) under Theobroma cacao (cacao). Its description in RNAcentral is "long non-coding RNA (TCAC_LNC002511)". The record is from RNAcentral. Lineage: Eukaryota; Viridiplantae; Streptophyta; Magnoliopsida; Malvales; Malvaceae.
ACCUUACAUCAUAAAACAACUAAAAACACCUAAAUAGCAUGAAAUUCAUCAAAGUCCAUUAUCCAAUUUCUCUCUUGAAAAUUUCAGCCAAGGAAUGUGGGUGAAGGGCAUGAAAUUUCUUGCUUGUUUUUCAUGCUAAACAUCACCAACAACUAAAAACACUAAGAUACCUUGAAAUCUAACCAAAUAAAUCAUCAAAUCUUCUCUCCCUAAAUUCGGUCAGCCAUGAAUCCUUCAUGAGAUCUUGAAUUUUAACCAUGGUAAUUGAAAAAUAAUGCAUAGGAAAGGUAGAUCACAAGCUAGAAUUAAGAAAUUUUAACUUUACUUGCUUAAUUCCUUGAAAUCCAAUAAAUUUUCUCUUGAUUUUCUUCUCUAGGGUUUGUUCUAUGCUUUUUCCCUUUUGUUCUUGCCUUGGCCAGCC